Long non-coding RNA from Neltuma alba, 309 nucleotides. RefSeq lists it as uncharacterized. Lineage: Eukaryota; Viridiplantae; Streptophyta; Magnoliopsida; Fabales; Fabaceae. The transcript is spliced from 3 exons. The record is from RefSeq and is a predicted model, not a curated record.
UCUCCGGCGCCUUCUCUCAUUUUUCCAGUAGGGUUUCAACUUUGCAGAUCAUUUUGAUUAAAUUAUUGGGCUAUUGGUAUGAGCACGGGGUUAACCUUGUGGUAAUACUUGUUCUAGACAAGAGGUGAUAGUUCCCGUUCGGGUCAGUCAGGGAAGGCUCCGGAAGCUUGAGCUGCUAUUGCAAAAUUGUAGCGCUUCCACUCUUUUGAUUGUGUUGGAUAGAUGUAUAUUGCCAUGAUAGGGCCCAUUCCACAUACUCUGAUAUGUUUGAGAUUGAUUAUUUUGACAGUGUACUUUUGAGAACUGUUA